This 465-nucleotide ribosomal RNA is filed under the name uncultured bacterium. RNAcentral's name for it is "partial 16S ribosomal RNA". It matches the Rfam family "Bacterial small subunit ribosomal RNA", at positions 28 to 507 of the family's 1533-position model. The record is from RNAcentral.
GAUGAACGCUGGCGGCGUGCUUAACACAUGCGAGUCGAACGGAAAGGCUCCUGCUUGCAGGGGUACUCGAGUGGCGAACGGGUGAGUAACACGUGGGUGAUCUGCCCUGCACUUCGGGAUAAGCCGGGGAAACUGGGUCUAAUACCGGAUAGGACGAUGGUUUGGAUGCCAUUGUGGAAAGUUUUUCGGUGUGGGAUGAGCUCGCGGCCUAUCAGCUUGUUGGUGGGGUAAUGGCCUACCAAGGCGUCGACGGGUAGCCGGCCUGAGAGGGUGUACGGCCACAUUGGGAAUGAGAUACGGCCCAGACUCCUACGGGAGGCAGCAGUGGGGAAUAUUGCACAAUGGGCGCAAGCCUGAUGCAGCGACGCCGCGUGGGGGAUGACGGCCUUCGGGUUGUAAACUCCUUUCGCUAGGGACGAAGCGCAAGUGACGGUACCUGGAGAAGAAGCACCGGCUAACUACGUG